Molecule: long non-coding RNA, 1115 nt
Organism: Triticum urartu
Lineage: Eukaryota; Viridiplantae; Streptophyta; Magnoliopsida; Poales; Poaceae
Source: RefSeq, a predicted model, not a curated record
AAUCCAAGUCAGAGCCCGUCGGCCACCUCCAUCUCCAUUCCUGCGCGCGUCGGCCACCUCCCUGCGGCGGAGCUCAACCCCGAAACGAAAUGAAACCCACCGCCGCCGCCUUUGUCUCCCCAACCAACCACAACCCACUGGCGACCUCCUCCCACUCUCCCUCGCCUCCCCUCACGUCCUCUUGUCUACCUACUAGGCCCCAGAUCGACUCGGCCUUCUCCUUCUCAGGCCACGACCAGAUCCGCUCCGGCGUUCCCGCAUCGGCGCCGUCAUGGACCUCCUCACCAAGCAUCUGCCCGCCCCAUCCUCCGUCCCUCGCGCAGCAGCCAAACCCUCCCUCCCUCCCCUUCGCCGCCGACGAUGGCCGCCGCGGCGGAGAAGACGGCCGAGGAGAUCCGCCAUGAGCUCCAAGAGCUGCAGCGCCAGCACCGCGAGAUCAGCGAGCGCCUGCCCGACCCCCGAGGCCUCCGACGCGGCGCCCCCGCCACCGGCCCCGGCGCCGGCCCCGGAGCGAUCUCGUCCCUGUAUCUGUUUUUGUGCGUGAUUUUUCUCCCCGCGUGUUUCUGAUGCAGGCCCCGGAGCCGGUGGACCAGCCCGAGCCCAAGCGCCGGCUUCUUUCUGCCGUGGUUAAAGUGGAUGGCCCUGGAACUAAUGGGGAUGAUGCGGCGGCGGAGGGGCGUGAGGAUGGACCAAAUGCUGCUCAAGGUGGUGAGAGGAGGGGAGCUAGUAAUGGUGGGUUCAGGAGGGAUGGGAGCCAGUGGGUAUCCAGGAGGGAGCUUGAUAAUCAGCUGCCAGAGCCUCUCCGAGGCCGGCUCCCAAGGAAGAGGAUCAGAGCUUGGUGAGGAGGAACAAGAGAAUGCUGGGGAAGCUUCUUGCUGGCACGCUAGAGGUGAACGUUCCGAAGACCAAGAAGACCUACUGCAAGAACAAGGAGUGCAAGAAGCACACCCUCCACAAGGUUACCUAGUACAAGAAAGGCAAGGAUAGCCUUUCUGCAUGUUUAUUUGGAUCCACUGAACCUUUGCACGGCUAAUCUCUCAAGUUUGUAUAUACAUAGACAGGUUUUUUGAAAGUGUGACUCCAUAGUAUUGAGAAGUAAUCAUGUUUCCUUUAGU